This 120-nucleotide ribosomal RNA is filed under the name uncultured bacterium. RNAcentral's name for it is "partial 16S ribosomal RNA". It matches the Rfam family "Bacterial small subunit ribosomal RNA", at positions 29 to 159 of the family's 1533-position model. The record is from RNAcentral.
AACGAACGCUGGCGGCAUGCCUAACACAUGCAAGUCGAACGAGACCUUCGGGUCUAGUGGCGCACGGGUGCGUAACGCGUGGGAACCUGCCCUUAGGUUCGGAAUAACAGUGAGAAAUCG